RNAcentral lists this ribosomal RNA (495 nucleotides) under uncultured bacterium. RNAcentral describes it as "partial 16S ribosomal RNA". It matches the Rfam family "Bacterial small subunit ribosomal RNA", at positions 28 to 507 of the family's 1533-position model. The record is from RNAcentral.
GACGAACGCUGGCGGCGUGCCUAAUACAUGCAAGUAGAACGCUGAAGGAGGAGCUUGCUUCUCUGGAUGAGUUGCGAACGGGUGAGUAACGCGUAGGUAACCUGCCUGGUAGCGGGGGAUAACUAUUGGAAACGAUAGCUAAUACCGCAUAAUAGCAGUUGUUGCAUGAUAACUGUUUGAAAGGUGCAAUUGCACCACUACCAGAUGGACCUGCGUUGUAUUAGCUAGUUGGUGGGGUAACGGCUCACCAAGGCGACGAUACAUAGCCGACCUGAGAGGGUGAUCGGCCACACUGGGACUGAGACACGGCCCAGACGCCUACGGGAGGCAGCAGUAGGGAAUCUUCGGCAAUGGACGGAAGUCUGACCGAGCAACGCCGCGUGAGUGAAGAAGGUUUUCGGAUCGUAAAGCUCGGUUGUAAGAGAAGAACGAGUGUGAGAGUGGAAAGUUCACACUGUGACGGUAUCUUACCAGAAAGGGACGGCUAACUACGUG